Non-coding RNA from Parasteatoda tepidariorum (common house spider), 343 nucleotides. The record is from RefSeq and is a predicted model, not a curated record. NCBI's taxonomy places the organism in Eukaryota, Metazoa, Arthropoda, Arachnida, Araneae, Theridiidae.
UAAAAUAUUUUGUGAAGAGUCAGUUUUUAUGAAAAGAUAUUUUGUGAAGGGUUCUUUAACUGACCGAAAUUUCUUCUAAACAGACCCCUUAUCUGACAGUAUGACAUAAUUAAGAGGUCUCUUAAAUUAAACAUACAUGCGCAAGGAUAGAUUCUCUCUCAUCCAUUGACAGUUUUCUGUGUUGCAGCCUGAUGUAGGUCAUUAAAUAAUAAAUAAAAGCAUCACAGAAGAAGUUGUAAAGAAGCUUUUAUAUUUGUUAUGAGGUUAUUCAGUUGUAGUAUGUAUUUUGUAUAAGAUAUUAAAAAUAUACUUAUCCUUUAAAUAAAGAAAACAUGCUUAUAAA